UCCCCUGUGGCUCAGUUGGUAGAGCAUGGUGGUUGCAACGCCAGCAUGGUGUGUGCAAUGCCAGGGUUGUGGGUUCGAUUCCCACGGGGGGCC
Molecule: non-coding RNA, 93 nt
Organism: Salmo salar (Atlantic salmon)
Lineage: Eukaryota; Metazoa; Chordata; Actinopteri; Salmoniformes; Salmonidae
Source: Rfam